UUCCUACGGGCGGCAGCAGUAAGGAAUAUUGGUCAAUGGACGAAAGUCUGAACCAGCCAUGCCGCGUGAAGGAUGAAGGCCCUCUGGGUUGUAAACUUCUUUUAUAGGGGACGAAAAAAGGGAAUUCCUUCCCACUUGACGGUACCCUAGGAAUAAGCACCGGCUAACUCCGUGCCAGCAGCCGCGGUAAUACGGAGGGUGCAAGCGUUAUCCGGAUUCACUGGGUUUAAAGGGUGCGUAGGUGGGCAGUUAAGUCAGUGGUGAAAUCUCCGGGCUUAACCCGGAAACUGCCAUUGAUACUAUCUGUCUUGAAUAUCCUGGAGGUGAGCGGAAUAUGUCAUGUAGCGGUGAAAUGCUUAGAUAUGACAUAGAACACCGAUUGCGAAGGCAGCUCGCUACGGGAUUAUUGACACUGAGGCACGAAAGCGUGGGGAUCAAACAGGAUUAGAUACCCCUGUAGUC
This 462-nucleotide ribosomal RNA is filed under the name uncultured Chitinophagaceae bacterium. Its description in RNAcentral is "bacterial SSU rRNA". It matches the Rfam family "Bacterial small subunit ribosomal RNA", at positions 336 to 795 of the family's 1533-position model. The record is from RNAcentral. Lineage: Bacteria; Pseudomonadati; Bacteroidota; Chitinophagia; Chitinophagales; Chitinophagaceae.